AGAGUUUGAUCAUGGCUCAGAUUGAACGCUGGCGGCAGGCCUAACACAUGCAAGUCGAACGGUAACAGAACUAGCUUGCUAGUUGCUGACGAGUGGCGGACGGGUGAGUAAUACUUAGGGAUCUGCCUCUGUGUGGGGGAUAACUAUUGGAAACGAUAGCUAAUACCGCAUAACGUCUACGGACCAAAGAGGGCUUCGGCUCUCGCGCAGAGAGGAACCUAAGCGAGAUUAGCUAGUUGGUGAGGUAAAGGCUCACCAAGGCGACGAUCUCUAGCUGUUCUGAGAGGAAGAUCAGCCACACUGGAACUGAGACACGGUCCAGACUCCUACGGGAGGCAGCAGUGGGGAAUAUUGCACAAUGGGGGAAACCCUGAUGCAGCCAUGCCGCGUGUGUGAAGAAGGCCUUCGGGUUGUAAAGCACUUUCAGUUGUGAGGAAAGUUUAGUAGUUAAUACCUGCUAGAUGUGACGUUAACAACAGAAGAAGCACCGGCUAACUCCGUGCCAGCAGCCGCGGUAAUACGGAGGGUGCGAGCGUUAAUCGGAAUUACUGGGCGUAAAGCGCACGCAGGCGGUCUGUUAAGCUAGAUGUGAAAGCCCCGCGCUCAACGUGGGAGGGUCAUUUAGAACUGGCAGGCUAGAGUCUUGGAGAGGGGAGUGGAAUUCCAGGUGUAGCGGUGAAAUGCGUAGAGAUCUGGAGGAACAUCAAUGGCGAAGGCAACUCCCUGGCCAAAGACUGACGCUCAUGUGCGAAAGUGUGGGUAGCGAACAGGAUUAGAUACCCUGGUAGUCCACACCGUAAACGCUGUCUACUAGCUGUUUGUGGAUUUAAUCCGUGAGUAGCGAAGCUAACGCGAUAAGUAGACCGCCUGGGGAGUACGGCCGC
This 884-nucleotide ribosomal RNA is filed under the name uncultured Gammaproteobacteria bacterium. RNAcentral's name for it is "bacterial SSU rRNA". It matches the Rfam family "Bacterial small subunit ribosomal RNA", at positions 8 to 889 of the family's 1533-position model. The record is from RNAcentral. Lineage: Bacteria; Pseudomonadati; Pseudomonadota; Gammaproteobacteria.